RNAcentral lists this ribosomal RNA (164 nucleotides) under uncultured rumen bacterium. RNAcentral describes it as "partial 16S ribosomal RNA". It matches the Rfam family "Bacterial small subunit ribosomal RNA", at positions 346 to 524 of the family's 1533-position model. The record is from RNAcentral.
AGGCAGCAGUGGGGAAUAUUGGGCAAUGGGCGAAAGCCUGACCCAGCAACGCCGCGUGAAGGAAGAAGGUCUUCGGAUUGUAAACUUCUUUUAUGAGGGACGAAGGAUGUGACGGUACCUCAUGAAUAAGCCACGGCUAACUACGUGCCAGCAGCCGCGGUAAU